GCUCAGCAUGUGUAAAUUGGCGGUCUGUAUUUCUGUGAACAUUGCUUUAAGCAUUACAAAUGAUGUCAUUACUUAAUAAAUUCGGUUUCAUUGUUCACUCACAAGAAAGAAGAAGGAAAGAUUUCUUUGUGUCCUAGGCCCUCUCACUAAAACCCUUCCCAAAUGGAGGACAGGCUUAGUUCAUGGCCUUCCACGUUGCAGGAAUUCCCGAUGGCCAGCAGAGAGAGCUCCAGCACCGCAGACCCGGAAGGGCGGGUUCCUCUGCCUAGGCAGUGAUGGCCAGCAGGGGGCGCACCAUCGGCUUUUCUGACCCAGGGCAUCUCAGAGCAGGAAGGGCUUCUGUUGCUCCCAGAGGACUCAGGGCCUAUGCCACUGCCUCAGUACAGAGAGCAAAGCUGCAUUUCCAGCAGGUUCUUCCGCCCGCCGCAGGGAAGACCUUGGGAGCUUUGCAGCAACUUGGCAUCUCCUGCGUCACCAGAGAGAAGCUGCCUUGUACUGAGUGUUGAGGAGGGGGCACUGGGUGGCUUCCCUGGGCAAGCUAGUUGCUGAGCUGCACAGAUCUUUGCAUUUUCUGGGCUGUUCCCGUGUUCCAUUCCUCCCCUUCCAGGACAAUAUUUGAACAAGACGUAUUUUACUAAAGGUCUCCUGGAUUGCUGGCUCUACGACAUCGCCUCAUAGAAGCACUCAAUGGUUUGUUCCAGAUUCAGGCUUGUUCCAGGAAGAAACCCUGACAGAAAUUCAGAAGAGCAGGAGCUGCAUUCAGUUAGGACAUGAAUACAUGAAAUGCUCCUCUCAUGACCUCCUAGAAGAAUGAGCUGGGGCCCACUUUCUGAGUCCUGCUGGAACCAGAGACCAAGCCCCAUUCCUUCUCCACAAGAGAUGCCUGUACCAACACAUGGUGGGGGAAAUGACAAAGAUGAGAUCCUGAGAAACUUGAGGAAUGUGGUAAUGGCAGCAGACACAUUCCCCUUGCAUCACAAUGGUCUGUGGUACCACCUCUGCACCUUGGCCCAAGACCUAACAGCAACAAAAAUAAGGUGAGUGUGUUUUACAAGUCAACUCCUAGUGCUUAGUGCUCAGAUCAUCUUACCAAGUGUUGCAGGUGGAGGAGUUCCAGGUGGCCCCAGGGCCACCAGGGUUCAGGAGGUGGAUGUGCCUAAUAGUCCAUGGGGGCAGGGCAUCUCUAGGGUAGGGCAUGCAGAAUCGUCCAGUUAAUGGAGGAGGUACUCAGGAUCCAGACUCCCCUGCAGAACAGAAGUGACAGCUACAUCCAUAUUGCCAGACAAGAGAACAAAUACUAAAAGCAUCUGUAACCCAGAGAAGAAGGUGUCAGCACCUUCUCUGCCACCAGGAUCCAAGAGAGUAGCAUGAGUACCUGAAAACUCUGUCCCUGCCACUGGAUACCACCUACAGCUUGGGGUAGUAGACGCAAGAGGUUAACCUAUUGCCACCACACAUCAUUGCCCAUGUCUGCGGAAGUAAAAUGGCAAGGGUCCUGUCCUAGAGGGUUAACAGAAGUAAUUACAGACUAAUGAAGUAGCAUUCUCCAGACAGGCAGCCAUCGAUGUCCAGGUUCAGCCUGCUUCC
This 1587-nucleotide long non-coding RNA is filed under the name Felis catus (domestic cat). RNAcentral's name for it is "lncRNA (ENSFCAG00000050481.1)". The record is from RNAcentral. Lineage: Eukaryota; Metazoa; Chordata; Mammalia; Carnivora; Felidae.